GACAGAGGUGGCAAGCGUUGUUCGGAAUAACUGGGCUUAAAGGGCGCGUAGGCGGUGGAGUAAGUCUGGGGUGGAAUCCGGAAGCUUAACUUUCGGACUGCCCUGGAAACUAUUUCACUUGAGUCGGACAGGGGAAGGCGGAAUUCCAGGUGUAGCGGUGAAAUGCGUAGAUAUCUGGAGGAAGGCCUGUGGCGAAGGCGGCCUUCUGGGUCUUGACUGACGCUGAGGCGCGAAAGCGUGGGGAG
Molecule: ribosomal RNA, 245 nt
Filed under: uncultured bacterium
Lineage: Bacteria
Description: partial 16S ribosomal RNA
Rfam family: Bacterial small subunit ribosomal RNA
Source: RNAcentral